RNAcentral lists this long non-coding RNA (232 nucleotides) under Mizuhopecten yessoensis (Yesso scallop). RNAcentral describes it as "uncharacterized LOC110443622, transcript variant X2". The record is from RNAcentral. Lineage: Eukaryota; Metazoa; Mollusca; Bivalvia; Pectinida; Pectinidae.
CGCCAAGUUGCAACAAGUUGACAAGCGGGAAUCUUCUAUAUUAGAUUAAGAAUCAUCGAUGUUUAACCAGGCACAACCCUCGUAAUCAAUCGUUAUCCGAAGUCUAUUACCAAGAUGAUGUCUGAAGAGGCCUUUCAGACAUUGGUACAUGAUAUAUACUCAGAGGCCACACUGACCGCUUUGGAUGCUAUCGAUGCAAAUGAAGCAGCUAUGAAGGAAGCUGCAAUGAAAC